This is a long non-coding RNA of Alexandromys fortis (reed vole), 587 nucleotides long. RefSeq lists it as uncharacterized. Lineage: Eukaryota; Metazoa; Chordata; Mammalia; Rodentia; Cricetidae. The record is from RefSeq and is a predicted model, not a curated record. The transcript has 5 exons.
GCGCGCCUGACGUCCAGUGCGCAGGCGCUUGCUUUGCCUUGGUCUAUAUAAGGAAGGUCGGCACCCAUGCUCGUUCUUUCGUUCCUGAGAUACUUCUUUAGUAUUGUUGUGCGUCAUGUCUCGUCCUUGUUGGAGUAAUGUUCAGAUGGUUGGCAUGGUUAAGCGGUGCAGAACAGGGGUUGGAGGGAGAGGAGACGUCACCUUUGGGCCUCCAGGGAGAUGAGACGACUCCAUCUAUGAUCUUCGACUUACUAGUUUCUUAAGGUUUGCUGGUGGCUGGUAGGCAUGGGAUGGAGGAUGAAUUCUGGAGCAGGAAAGGACUGGCCUGAGGUUGCCAUGGAUGCCAGUGUGUUCUGAUCUUCCUUGACUUCAAUGUCCUGAAACAGGUACUUCUAGAAAACAGAAAAACAGAUCAGCAGUUUCCGGCUGGCCCAGUCCCAUAAGGAUUUUAUACAUUUGGUCCCAAAGGCUGUGUGUGACCCGAAAAGGACUUUACUUUUUUAGGCUGGGAUGUGGCGUGGUAUGCACUGCUAUUGAAAAUACUGAAUGGUACAGACCUCUCUGUAGAAAUAAAAAUCUACCAGGUA